UACGGAGGGUGCAAGCGUUGUUCGGAAUUACUGGGCGUAAAGGGCGCGUAGGCGGCCUUCUAAGUCGAACGUGAAAUCCCCGGGCUCAACCCGGGAACUGCGUCCGAGACUGGAAGGCUUGAAUCCGGGAGAGGGAUGUGGAAUUCCAGGUGUAGCGGUGGAAUGCGUAGAUAUCGGGAGGAACACCAGUGGCGCAGGCGGCGUCCUGGACCGGCACUGACGCUGAGGAGCGAAAGCGUGGGGAGCGAUCCGG
This 253-nucleotide ribosomal RNA is filed under the name uncultured bacterium. RNAcentral describes it as "partial 16S ribosomal RNA". It matches the Rfam family "Bacterial small subunit ribosomal RNA", at positions 524 to 776 of the family's 1533-position model. The record is from RNAcentral.